UAGGUUGAAGCCCGCUGGUUUGGGUGUUUAGUUGUUAACUAGAUUUUUACGGGAUCGAAGCCCGUCAGCCUAGU
RNAcentral lists this transfer RNA (74 nucleotides) under Lygodactylus aff. capensis. Its description in RNAcentral is "tRNA-Asn". The record is from RNAcentral. Lineage: Eukaryota; Metazoa; Chordata; Lepidosauria; Squamata; Gekkonidae.